RNAcentral lists this unclassified non-coding RNA (243 nucleotides) under Cercophora samala. Its description in RNAcentral is "partial internal transcribed spacer region". The stretch from base 1 to 46 matches the Rfam family "Eukaryotic small subunit ribosomal RNA", at positions 1786 to 1831 of the family's 1831-position model. The record is from RNAcentral. Lineage: Eukaryota; Fungi; Ascomycota; Sordariomycetes; Sordariales; Lasiosphaeriaceae.
AAGUCGUAACAAGGUCUCCGUUGGUGAACCAGCGGAGGGAUCAUUAAAGAGUUGCAAAACUCCCACAAACCAUCGCGAACGAACCCCUGAACAGUUGCUUCGGCAGGCCGGCCCCCCCGCCCCACCCGCGGGGGUCGCCGCCCAGGGCCUGCCGGAGGUGCCCAAACCAUUGUUUUUUUACCGGCCUCUCUGAGUACCGUACUUAAUAAGUCAAAACUUUCAACAACGGAUCUCUUGGUUCUG